GUGGCGGUGAAUGGUAAACUGGUGGUGGUGGAGGUGGCGAAACAUAAAUUACUGGUGCUGGUGGUGGUGAUGGCGAUGGCGGGGGCUUAUAAUGAGUUGGCGGUGGAGGUGAAGGCAAUGGAGGUGGGGGCGAAUAUUCUACACAUGGUGGCGGUGGAGGGGGAGGUGGUUCUAUACAAGGGGGUGGGGAUGGAGGUGGUGGCAAAUGGACUGGUGGAGGUGGCGGGGGAGAUUGGUAUGGAUAAAUAGGAGGUGGGGGUGAAUGUGGCGGUGGAGGUGGUUCUAUACAAGGGGGUGGGGAUGGAGGUGGUGGUGAAUGGACUGGUGGAGGUGGCGGGGGAGAUUGGUAUGGAUAAAUAGGAGGUGGGGGUGAAUGUGGCGGUGGAGGUGGUGGUGAGCUAUAAAUGUAAGGGUUUGGCGGUGGUGAGGAGUACAGUGGAGGAGGUGGUGGAGGAGAAUUUGGCGGAGGUGGUGGAGGGCGGACACAAUACGGUGGUGGUGGAGAAGAGUAAACAGGAGGGGGCGGGGGUGAUGGUGAUGGAGGAGGAGGCGGAGGCAAGUAUACAGGCGGGGGUGGUGGCGGAGGAGGAGGUGGUGGGGGUGGAGAGUAAACUGGCGGGGGUGGUGAAGGAGGUGGAGGCGGGGGAGAGUAGACUGGCGGAGGUGGCGAAGGAGGUGGGGGUGGUGGAGGAGGAGGUGGCAAGUAUACUGGUGGUGGUGGUGACG
Molecule: long non-coding RNA, 726 nt
Filed under: Citrus maxima (pomelo)
Lineage: Eukaryota; Viridiplantae; Streptophyta; Magnoliopsida; Sapindales; Rutaceae
Description: long non-coding RNA (CMAX_LNC001794)
Source: RNAcentral